RNAcentral lists this ribosomal RNA (447 nucleotides) under uncultured bacterium. RNAcentral describes it as "bacterial SSU rRNA". It matches the Rfam family "Bacterial small subunit ribosomal RNA", at positions 331 to 793 of the family's 1533-position model. The record is from RNAcentral.
CCAGACUCCUACGGGAGGCAGCAGUGGGGAAUAUUGCACAAUGGGGGAAACCCUGAUGCAGCGACGCCGCGUGAGCGAUGAAGUAUUUCGGUAUGUAAAGCUCUAUCAGCAGGGAAGAAAAUGACGGUACCUGACUAAGAAGCCCCGGCUAACUACGUGCCAGCAGCCGCGGUAAUACGUAGGGGGCAAGCGUUAUCCGGAUUUACCGGGUGUAAAGGGAGCGUAGACGGCGUCGCAAGUCUGAAGUGAAAGCCCGUGGCUCAACCGCGGAACCGCUUUGGAAACUGCAAGGCUGGAGUGCUGGAGAGGUAAGCGGAAUUCCUGGUGUAGCGGUGAAAUGCGUAGAUAUCAGGAGGAACACCGGUGGCGAAGGCGGCUUACUGGACAGUGACUGACGUUGAGGCUCGAAAGCGUGGGGAGCGAACAGGAUUAGAUACCCUGGUACCG